RNAcentral lists this long non-coding RNA (361 nucleotides) under Malus domestica (apple). Its description in RNAcentral is "long non-coding RNA (MDOM_LNC004228)". Lineage: Eukaryota; Viridiplantae; Streptophyta; Magnoliopsida; Rosales; Rosaceae. The record is from RNAcentral.
CAUGUGAGAGGUCCUCGUUGAUCGUGUUCAGUGGACUCAUUUGCUAUUGAGCACCUACAUGCUUGUCUUGGUGUCAAUCACACCAAUGACUCGAGACUAGUCACUUUCCCUGAGAGAAGACACAGCACGUACUGAUCUUAAUGGACUGUCAAUGCCCAAUUGGCAAUCCUAUGAUCAGGAACGUUUAGGAUAUAUAUACGAAAGAGAAUGGUCUCAUGAAUCUAACAUGUUUAAAUUACAUUCUCCUAAUUACAUAUUCCUUGGACUUAUCAUUUAAGCAUAUAACAUUUAUAUGAGACGGCUUAAAACAAUAAUCGUUGCCCUUGAUAUUAAACUAGAUUAGUUUAACAUGUGAAAUGUC